AUUUUGUACUGAUCUUGAGAAUUACAAUAUCUACAAUCAAACUCCUCAACAUUAUGGUCAAUAUGUGCCACUAGUGCACGUGUUGAACUACGGUAACUACCAUGGAGAUACCUUGAUAAUCCCGAAUGAUUGUGUGCCUCAUCUGAUGUAUACGCAUGGUAGCCUUCAUGUUUUGAACAUACAACCAGGUUGUCCUACGAAUCUCAACUGUCCAUACCGGGUUUCUAAAAGAAGUGGAGACAUAACAAUCAAAGAAUGGAAAAAAUGUAUGGACAGUCGUAAGGAGCUUCUUGGAAGCAACAAGCAGCGAAGGGCAAGAAUUGGAGACAGGAUGAUCGCCAUUCUUCAUAAUGGAGAGUCAGGGUCUAUAUUGUUUUAUGCUAUUUUACCUUAAGGGUGUUUAGG
Molecule: ribosomal RNA, 405 nt
Filed under: Triticum aestivum (bread wheat)
Lineage: Eukaryota; Viridiplantae; Streptophyta; Magnoliopsida; Poales; Poaceae
Description: partial small subunit ribosomal RNA
Source: RNAcentral